UGCCAGCAGCCGCGGUAAUACAGAGGUGGCAAGCGUUGUUCGGAUUUAUUGGGCGUAAAGGGUCCGUAGGCGGACUGGAAAGUCGGAUGUGAAAGCUCACAGCUCAACUGUGGAACUGCAUUCGAAACUUCCAGACUAGAGUAUGAGAGGGGUGAAGGGAUUUCCCGGUGUAAGGGUGAAAUCUGCAGAGAUCGGGAAGAACACCAGUCGCGAAGGCGCUUCACUGGCUCAAGACUGACGCUGAGGGACGAAAGCUAGGGUAGCCAACGGGAUUAGAUA
This 279-nucleotide ribosomal RNA is filed under the name uncultured bacterium. RNAcentral's name for it is "partial 16S ribosomal RNA". It matches the Rfam family "Bacterial small subunit ribosomal RNA", at positions 506 to 784 of the family's 1533-position model. The record is from RNAcentral.